This 874-nucleotide ribosomal RNA is filed under the name Matsushimaea fertilis. Its description in RNAcentral is "LSU rRNA". It matches the Rfam family "Eukaryotic large subunit ribosomal RNA", at positions 73 to 968 of the family's 3401-position model. The record is from RNAcentral. Lineage: Eukaryota; Fungi; Ascomycota; Dothideomycetes; Venturiales; Sympoventuriaceae.
UAUUGCCUCRGUAACGGCGAGUGAAGCGGCAAUAGCUCAAAUUUGAAAUCUGGCCUCUCGGGGUCCGAGUUGUAAUUUGUAGAGGAUGUUUUGGGUACCGCCCCGGUUUAAAUUUCUUGGAACAGAAUGUCAGAGAGGGUGAGAAUCCCGUCUUGGACCGGGGUAGGGCCUGUGUAAAACUCCUUCGACGAGUCGAGUUGUUUGGGAAUGCAGCUCAAAAUGGGUGGUAAAUUUCAUCUAAAGCUAAAUAUUGGCCAGAGACCGAUAGCGCACAAGUAGAGUGAUCGAAAGAUGAAAAGCACUUUGAAAAGAGAGUUAAACAGUAUGUGAAAUUGUUGAAAGGGAAGCGCUUGCAACCAGACUUGAGCGCGGCGGUUCCCCCAGCCUUUUGGCUGGGCUACUCCGUCGUGUCCAGGCCAACAUCGGUUCUGAGGGUCGGUUAAAGGCCUUGGGAAUGUAUCUACCCACGGGUAGACUUAUAGACCAGGGUGUCAUGCGGCCUCUCGGGACCGAGGAACGCGCUUCGGCUCGGAUGUUGGCGUAAUGGUUGUCAGCGACCCGUCUUGAAACACGGACCAAGGAGUCUAACAUCUAUGCGAGUGUUUGGGUGUCAAACCCGGAACGCGGAAUGAAAGUGAACGGAGGUAGGAAGCUUCGGCUGCACUAUCGACCGAUCCUGAAGUUUACGGAAGGAUUUGAGUAAGAGCAUAGCUGUUGGGACCCGAAAGAUGGUGAACUAUGCCUGAAUAGGGUGAAGCCAGAGGAAACUCUGGUGGAGGCUCGCAGCGGUUCUGACGUGCAAAUCGAUCGUCAAAUUUGGGUAUAGGGGCGAAAGACUAAUCGAACCAUCUGGUAGCUGGUUCCUGCCGAAGUU